UACGGAGGGGGCAAGCGUUAUCCGGAAUUAUUGGGCGUAAAGCGUCCGUAGGUGGCUAGUCAAGUCUGCGGUCAAAGACUGGGGCUUAACCCUGGAAAGGCCGUGGAAACUGACGAGCUAGAGUGCAGUAGGGGUAGAGGGAAUUCCCGGUGUAGCGGUGAAAUGCGUAGAGCUCGGGAAGAACAUCGGUGGCGAAAGCGCUCUACUGGACUGCAACUGACGCUCAGGGACGAAAGCUAGGGGAGCGAAUGGG
This 253-nucleotide ribosomal RNA is filed under the name uncultured bacterium. RNAcentral's name for it is "partial 16S ribosomal RNA". It matches the Rfam family "Bacterial small subunit ribosomal RNA", at positions 524 to 776 of the family's 1533-position model. The record is from RNAcentral.